This 429-nucleotide ribosomal RNA is filed under the name Gemmatimonadota bacterium. Its description in RNAcentral is "Gemmatimonadetes bacterium partial 16S ribosomal RNA". It matches the Rfam family "Bacterial small subunit ribosomal RNA", at positions 355 to 776 of the family's 1533-position model. The record is from RNAcentral. Lineage: Bacteria; Pseudomonadati; Gemmatimonadota.
UAGGGAAUCUUCGGCAAUGGACGAAAGUCUGACCGAGCAACGCCGCGUGAGUGAAGAAGGUUUUCGGAUCGUAAAACUCUGUUGUUAGAGAAGAACAAGGACGUUAGUAACUGAACGUCCCCUGACGGUAUCUAACCAGAAAGCCACGGCUAACUACGUGCCAGCAGCCGCGGUAAUACGUAGGUGGCAAGCGUUGUCCGGAUUUAUUGGGCGUAAAGCGAGCGCAGGCGGUUUCUUAAGUCUGAUGUGAAAGCCCCCGGCUCAACCGGGGAGGGUCAUUGGAAGCUGGGAGACUUGAGUGCAGAAGAGGAGAGUGGAAUUCCAUGUGUAGCGGUGAAAUGCGUAGAUAUAUGGAGGAACACCAGUGGCGAAGGCGGCUCUCUGGUCUGUAACUGACGCUGAGGCGCGAAAGCGUGGGGAGCAAACAGG